Molecule: ribosomal RNA, 497 nt
Filed under: uncultured bacterium
Lineage: Bacteria
Description: partial 16S ribosomal RNA
Rfam family: Bacterial small subunit ribosomal RNA
Source: RNAcentral
GAUGAACGCUGGCGGCGUGCCUAAUACAUGCAAGUCGAGCGAACAGACGAGGAGCUUGCUCCUCUGACGUUAGCGGCGGACGGGUGAGUAACACGUGGAUAACCUACCUAUAAGACUGGGAUAACUUCGGGAAACCGGAGCUAAUACCGGAUAAUAUAUUGAACCGCAUGGUUCAAUAGUGAAAGACGGUUUUGCUGUCACUUAUAGAUGGAUCCGGGCCGCAUGAGCUAGUUGGUAAGGUAACGGCUUACCAAGGCAACGAUGCGUAGCCGACCUGAGAGGGUGAUCGGCCACACGGGAGCUGAGACACGGUCCAGACUCCUACGGGAGGCAGCAGUAGGGAAUCUGCCGCAAUGGGCGAAAGCCUGACGGAGCAACGCCGCGUGAGUGAUGAAGGUCUUCGGAUCGUAAAACUCUGUUAUUAGGGAAGAACAAAUGUGUAAGUAACUAUGCACGUCUUGACGGUACCUAAUCAGAAAGCCACGGCUAACUACGUG